RNAcentral lists this ribosomal RNA (253 nucleotides) under uncultured bacterium. Its description in RNAcentral is "partial 16S ribosomal RNA". It matches the Rfam family "Bacterial small subunit ribosomal RNA", at positions 524 to 776 of the family's 1533-position model. The record is from RNAcentral.
UACAGGGGGGGCAAGCGUUGUUCGGAAUUACUGGGCGUAAAGGGUUCGUAGGUGGCUCGCUAAGUCAGACGUGAAAUCCCUCAGCUUAACUGGGGAACUGCGUCUGAUACUGGAGGGCUUGAGUGCAGGAGAGGAACGCGGAAUUCCAGGUGUAGCGGUGAAAUGCGUAGAUAUCUGGAGGAACACCGGUGGCGAAGGCGGCGUUCUGGACUGCAACUGACACUGAUGAACGAAAGCCAGGGGAGCAAACGGG